GCCGGGUGUAGUGGUGCGCGCCUGUAAUCCCAGCUACUCAGGAGGCUGAGGCAGGAGAAUCUCUUGAACCUAGGAGGCAGAGGCUGCAGUGAGCCAAGAUGGCACCACUGCACUCCAGCCUGGGUGACAGAGUGAGACUCUGUCUCAA
Unclassified non-coding RNA from Macaca mulatta (Rhesus monkey), 148 nucleotides. It matches the Rfam family "Metazoan signal recognition particle RNA". Rfam says of the family: The signal recognition particle (SRP) is a universally conserved ribonucleoprotein. It is involved in the co-translational targeting of proteins to membranes. Lineage: Eukaryota; Metazoa; Chordata; Mammalia; Primates; Cercopithecidae. The record is from Ensembl.